GAUAUAGAAGUUCAGUUUGCCAUAGCAAGAAUUUCUUCACCUAGGAGUACUUGGGUAAGACAUUUAAACCUUAGUUGUAUAUGGUUAGCACUAAAAUGCUUUCAAAUUGGAUAAGGAUGUGUAUGUAAAUUCAAGUUCAUCUUUUUUAUAUGUGUGCCGGCUUCUGUUUGCUUGGGCUGUUCUUGAUCUGCUAUGAAUAGGAAGUAUACUUCACAAUUUUAGAAAGUCUGCUGUCUUUAACCUUUCUUCAUUCAACCCUCGUAUCAUGUUUCUGCCUUAAACAAACAAACAAACAAACAAAACAAAAACAAAAACAAAAAAUCAAGUGAGACCUCUAUUUAAUUGUUAACUUAAGGGGCUGGAGUAAUAGUUCAGUGGUUAAGAGUACUGACUGCUCUUCCUGAGGUCCUGAGUUCAAUUCCCAGCAACUACAUGGUUGCUUACAAGCAUUGGUAAUGGGAUCUGAUGCCUUCUUCUGGUGUGUCUGAAGACAGCAACAGUGUACUCAUAUAUGUAAGUAAUAAUUCUUAAAAAAAUAAUUUACUUAUCUUGUUCUCUUUCAGUUUUAAAUCAAUUAAUCAAUCUAUCAAUCUAUCUAUCUAUCUAUCUAUCUAUCUAUCUAUCUAUCUAUCUAUCUAUCUUUCUGUCCCAAGUCUUACUCCUAUCAAAGCUGAUACAAAUUUGAGUGUACUCCAGUAGUGUUCUUGGAUACAGUCCUUUUCUUUACAUAGUAAUGUCUCCUAAUUGAUAGUGGCAUUGCUCAGUCCUCAUAGAACAAUGGUCAGUGUUUUGUUUGAAUACACUUGGAAGUUCUGUAAAGUCUUCCCAAUUUAUAUAUUAGUGAAAGGAGCGAUUUUAGUUAUUCAAAUUCAAAAAUGUUUUUAUCUUUUUGAAGCAAUACAGAAAAAUGGCUUACAACAUGAGACUUGAUUCUUGAAAAAAGCUGCAUUAGCAUCAAAAGACUAACUUUCAACCUAUGUUUCUUUGGAUAGAAGACUAUCAGGGGAAUAGAUUGACAAAACAAAUAUUUUUUCAUUUGUGUUGAGAAUCAUCUUACCUUUUAAAAUGGCAUUACUUAUUUCAUACUAUCUAGAAGACUUUUAAUACAAAGGAAAGUGAGAGUAAUCUAUCUUCCAUCCAUUAUUCUUUUGUCUCAGUCAUGCACAUGUGUUAUUCACUCACACGAAGAUGAGGAUGUGUUCUGCUCUUAAGAGUCAUGCUGCGCAAUUGGAUUGUCUUGUUGACUUUGUCAUUGUAUUGUUUAAUUACUGGUUCCACAGGACAGGUGACUGUGUCACAGAAAUCAUUUUUCAGUGACUCAUGUACUGAAUGACUUAUUAAACAAAGCCUUCAAGUGACUGUUGAAUGACUACCAGUUUAUUGGAUCAUUAGACUGUAGCAACUUCGAAGAGAAAUAAGUGUAUGUAUCCAUCACGUUUUAGUUAAUUCACUUUAAGAAAUGGAAACGUAUGUUUUUAUGUAACUCAAACUUGUUGAAGUUGUAAAUAAAUUCUGACCAAUGUUUUCUUUCAGUUGCAGUGAAUGUGUUCCAGUAGAUGUGAGUAGAUGUGAUGAGAUUCUAGACGUUGAAUUACAAAUGCUAGCAUCCUUUGUUUACCACUUUCCCCUGACAUCAUGAGAGAAAUCUAUUUAUUUGGGUUAAGUAGCUCCUGGCUCAGCCUCUGUUCAUGAAACUGAGCUGGCCAGCUGCAGCAAAUGCAAAACUAUGUUUUCGGAGUUCGAGGCCAGCCUGGUCUACAAAGUAAGUUCCAGGACAGCCAGGGCUAUACAGAGAAACCCCGUCU
Molecule: long non-coding RNA, 1805 nt
Filed under: Mus musculus (house mouse)
Lineage: Eukaryota; Metazoa; Chordata; Mammalia; Rodentia; Muridae
Description: long non-coding RNA chr3:136825173-136826978
Source: RNAcentral